RNAcentral lists this ribosomal RNA (451 nucleotides) under Tricorynus sp. 1 TX KLB-2011. Its description in RNAcentral is "partial 16S ribosomal RNA". It matches the Rfam family "Bacterial large subunit ribosomal RNA", at positions 1852 to 2582 of the family's 2925-position model. Lineage: Eukaryota; Metazoa; Arthropoda; Insecta; Coleoptera; Ptinidae. The record is from RNAcentral.
GUCGGGCCUGCCCAAUGAUUAUUUUAAUGGCCGCGGUAUUUUGACCGUGCAAAGGUAGGAAAAUCAAUAGUUUAUUAAUUGUAAACUGGAAUGAAAGGUUUGACGAGAAUCUAUCUGUCUCUUAUUAAUUAAUUGAAUUUUAUUUUUGAGUUAAAAAGCUCAAAUUUUUUUAAAAGACGAGAAGACCCUAUAGAGUUUUAUGUUAAUAUAAUUAACUUUUUAUAUUUAUUUAUAUUAGUAUUUUGUUGGGGUGACAGAAAAAUUUAAUUAACUUUUUUUUUUGUUUACAUUUAUUUAUGAAUUGUUGAUCUUGAUUUAUGAUUAUAAGAUUAAAUUACCUUAGGGAUAACAGCGUUAUUUAUCUUGAGAGUUCAAAUCGAAAGAUAAGUUUGCGACCUCGAUGUUGGAUUAAAAUUAAAAUAAGGUGUAGAAGCUUACUUCUAGGUCGUCG